GAUGAAGAACGUAGCGAAAUGCGAUAAGUAAUGUGAAUUGCAGAAUUCAGUGAAUCAUCGAGUCUUUGAACGCACAUUGCGCCCCCUGGUAUUCCGGGGGGCAUGCCUGUCCGAGCGUCAUUGCUGCCCUCAAGCACGGCUUGUGUGUUGGGCCCCGUCCUCCGAUCCCGGGGGACGGGCCCGAAAGGCAGCGGCGGCACCGCGUCCGGUCCUCGAGCGUAUGGGGCUUUGUCACCCGCUCUGUAGGCCCGGCCGGCGCUUGCCGAUCAACCCAAAUUUUUUAUCCAGGUUGACCUCGGAUCAGGUAAGACUACCCGCUGAACUUAAGCAUAUCAAUAAGCGGAGGA
RNAcentral lists this unclassified non-coding RNA (347 nucleotides) under soil metagenome. RNAcentral describes it as "partial contains 5.8S ribosomal RNA, internal transcribed spacer 2, and large subunit ribosomal RNA". The stretch from base 1 to 120 matches the Rfam family "5.8S ribosomal RNA", at positions 35 to 154 of the family's 154-position model. The record is from RNAcentral.